CCUACGGGGGGCAGCAGUGGGGAAUAUUGGACAAUGGGGGGAACCCUGAUCCAGCCAUGCCGCGUGUGUGAAGAAGGCCCUCGGAUUGUAAAGCACUUUCAGUGAGGAAGAACGCCUGGUGGUUAAUACCCAUCAGGAAAGACAUCACUCACAGAAGAAGCACCGGCUAACUCCGUGCCAGCAGCCGCGGUAAUACGGAGGGUGCGAGCGUUAAUCGGAAUUACUGGGCGUAAAGCGCGCGUAGGUGGCUUGAUAAGCCGGUUGUGAAAGCCCCGGGCUCAACCUGGGAACGGCAUCCGGAACUGUCAAGCUAGAGUGCAGGAGAGGAAGGUAGAAUUCCCGGUGUAGCGGUGAAAUGCGUAGAGAUCGGGAGGAAUACCAGUGGCGAAGGCGGCCUUCUGGACUGACACUGACACUGAGGUGCGAAAGCGUGGGUAGCAAACAGGAUUAGAUACCCUUGUAGUC
RNAcentral lists this ribosomal RNA (465 nucleotides) under Vreelandella stevensii. RNAcentral's name for it is "partial 16S ribosomal RNA". It matches the Rfam family "Bacterial small subunit ribosomal RNA", at positions 338 to 795 of the family's 1533-position model. Lineage: Bacteria; Pseudomonadati; Pseudomonadota; Gammaproteobacteria; Oceanospirillales; Halomonadaceae. The record is from RNAcentral.